This 87-nucleotide transfer RNA is filed under the name marine eukaryotic metagenome. It matches the Rfam family "tRNA". Rfam says of the family: Transfer RNA (tRNA) molecules are approximately 80 nucleotides in length. The record is from RNAcentral.
GAGAGGUGGCGGAGUGGUCUAACGCGCUAGUUUGCUAAACUGGUGAGGGAAGUAAUUCCCUCCGGGGGUUCGAAUCCCCCUCUCUCC